RNAcentral lists this long non-coding RNA (1987 nucleotides) under Nicotiana benthamiana. RNAcentral's name for it is "long non-coding RNA (NBEN_LNC006445)". Lineage: Eukaryota; Viridiplantae; Streptophyta; Magnoliopsida; Solanales; Solanaceae. The record is from RNAcentral.
UGACAACCGCUCGUUCAACAGAUUAUUUCAUAAUUUAACAUCCCAAAUCCAAACUAUACGAAUUACUCUUAAACAUUCCAAAUUACAUAUCCUGUUUUUAUAAUGGAAAGAAGUACAUGAGCAUGGUUUUUUUUUUCGUUUUCAAUCACAAAAUAAAACCUUCAUUGUCAAAGAAUAUACAAAACCAGAAAUUAGUCAUCACAUACUAUUGAAAGUAACACACUUAGUGAAUCUGCCUUAGAACAUUAUAACCAUCCGAAUUAAAUGUCAAAAUGCAGCAGCAUGAGCUGAAUCUAUUCAGAUGCCUAAACCAACAUUUAAAAGCGAUGAAAAACCAUAGAUUAACAGUCCAUUCCAAGCACAUGAUAAGAAUAUUUAUAUCCAAAUAAAAUUAAAUUGAUAGAACAACAACAACAACAACAACCACAACUACCCAGUAUACUCCCACCAGGUGGGGUCUGGGGAGGGUAAUAUGUAGGCAGUCUUACCCCUACCCAAAAGGGCAGAGAGGCUGCUUCCAUGGGACCUAAAUUGAUAGAACCUAAGGUUUAAAUAUAAACUCAAUACAUAUAUUUACCUUCAUGAUAUAAAUGAAUACAAGAAAGGAUGCAAUGAAACAUAAACUGAUGCAUAUGUAUUCAACUAAACUAAUAUCUGCAUCUUCAACAAAGUUCAAGUUCAAGCUUCAUAUAUUGACAAAAGGUCCAAAGAGGUACCUAGUUACAACAAAGAACAACAAGGGAAAAUAAACUUAAAGUUGAAAAAAACCCGCAACAAGGUAUCAGCAGCAUUAACACUGUCAAAUAGCAACCAAAUCAGUCCUUCCAAGCUAUUUUUUUAACCUAGAAUGAACCAGAAAACUAUCGAAAGGUUUCAGACUUGUAAAGAUAACAACAAAAACAAGCUAAUUUCUAUCAAAAUGCAAAGGAUUUGUAGUAUUCUACACUCAUCCGUAUUUUCAUUUUUUAGGAAUUUUUCAGUAUCUAACCUCAGACUUGUGAGUGAAGAAAAAGUGCUUUUAUAGGCAAGUCUUAGGACAACAGAAAUAAAUUAAGUUUUUGGACUUUAAACCUUUGCAAUUUUCAUUUUUACUGUUGUGCCCUUAGUUAAAAAAUCAGGUUUUUAAAUUAGUCCCAAAGCCCCCUUCCAAGAAGCUUCCUAAAUCAGUUAUAUAAGAUUUCCUAAGCUACAAUUCCUAAAUUAACCCUUAGGACCCAUGUUUUUAUCCCAGGAACCCAGGUCCAAAUUCUCAAAUUGCUAGCCAAACUGGAUUGAAUUCUUUUCUUGGGCUUCUAAUUUAACAUAGUCUCAAUUAAAAUUUAAAAGCUAAAAAACUCUCAAAUGUUCACUUACGGAGUCAUGAGGUCUUGUGAAAUUUUAGGCCUAAAAAGAAAAAUAUAAACAGAAUUACACUGGAACACAUUAGCACAAAACGCACUAAUUAAAGAAAAAAGGUUUAAAACUAACAUGCAUAUCCACAUGACUUGAAGAACAAGAAUAAAUAAGAAAAGAAUCAGGAAGAAGAGAGGGAAGCAGAAGAUAAUUAGGUUGGAGAUGGAAAAUGAAAAAUGAAGAAAAGAUAAGGAAAAAAAAAAGGAAAAAUAUCUAAAAGAAAGGCUCGAACAGUAAAAGAAACUGAAACGUCUUCAUGUCUUCAAAUUUAGGCCGAGUUUGACUUUAAUCGUGUGUUCUUGUCAAGAGCGCAUGAAUAAGAUCCAACUAGACCUUAAUUCUUCUCUGGAAUCUUGAUUUGGGGUUUUUUGUGAUUUUAGGGCUCGACUUUAGAUUCGAUAUUCGAAGAGUUUCAGAAAUAUUCGAAGAAAUGAGUGAUGAUUUGGUAUGGGGAGGUGAAGGAGAGUCUUAGUGUAGAUUUGGGGUGGAUUGGGGGCGGCGUUGCCGGCUUGAGGUGGUGGAGAAAUGGGGCGGUGCUAGGGUUCUUGUUCGGUCUCUGAAGAGAAGGGGAGAUGAGAGAGAUGAGUUAGAGGGU